GCCUCCUUAGCUCAGUUGGUAGAGCAACUGAUUUGUAAUCAGUAGGUCGUUGGUUCGAGUCCAAUAGGAGGCU
Molecule: transfer RNA, 73 nt
Organism: Microscilla marina ATCC 23134
Lineage: Bacteria; Pseudomonadati; Bacteroidota; Cytophagia; Cytophagales; Microscillaceae
Rfam family: tRNA
About the family: Transfer RNA (tRNA) molecules are approximately 80 nucleotides in length. Their secondary structure includes four short double-helical elements and three loops (D, anti-codon, and T loops).
Source: Rfam